GAGGGGGCCAGCGUUGUCCGGAUUCAUUGGGCGUAAAGAGCGUGUAGGCGGUUCAAUAGGUCCGAUGUGAAAACUCGAGGGCUCAACCUCGAGAGGUCGUCGGAAACCAUUGAGCUAGAGUCCGGAAGAGGAGAGUGGAAUUCCUGGUGUAGCGGUGAAAUGCGCAGAUAUCAGGAAGAACACCGAUGGCGAAGGCAGCUCUCUGGGACGGUACUGACGCUGAGACGCGAAAGCGUGGGGAGCGAACAGGAUUAGAUACCCUGGUAGUCCACGCCGUAAACGAUGGGCACUAGGUGUGGGUGGUGUCGACUCCAUCCGUGCCGCAGCUAACGCAUUAAGUGCCCCGCCUGGGGAGUACGGCCGCAAGGCUA
Molecule: ribosomal RNA, 371 nt
Filed under: uncultured organism
Description: partial 16S ribosomal RNA
Rfam family: Bacterial small subunit ribosomal RNA
Source: RNAcentral